This 200-nucleotide ribosomal RNA is filed under the name uncultured bacterium. Its description in RNAcentral is "partial 16S ribosomal RNA". It matches the Rfam family "Bacterial small subunit ribosomal RNA", at positions 29 to 256 of the family's 1533-position model. The record is from RNAcentral.
AACGAACGCUGGCGGUAUGCCUAACACAUGCAAGUCGAACGAGACCUUCGGGUCUAGUGGCGCACGGGUGCGUAUCGCGUGGGAAUCUGCCCUUGGGUUCGGGAUAACAGUUGGAAACGACUGCUAAUACCGGAUGAUGACUUCGGUCCAAAGAUUUAUCGCCCAGGGAUGAGCCCGCGUAGGAUUAGCUAGUUGGUGAG